This 697-nucleotide long non-coding RNA is filed under the name Helianthus annuus (common sunflower). RNAcentral describes it as "sRNA HanXRQr2_Chr06g0248341". The record is from RNAcentral. Lineage: Eukaryota; Viridiplantae; Streptophyta; Magnoliopsida; Asterales; Asteraceae.
UGAAGUAUCCUCUGUAAACUCUGUAGCCGCGGAAGCUGAUCACCGUCAGAGCUACGUGGCUCUUCAAGCUCGUUUCUUAGUGCAGCAGUUCGAGUUUCAAUCAUACCAAUAGCAUUCUCCACAGGUGAAAACUCAAGUGAUUCAGAUUUAGUAACCAAAAGCCGGUUCACUAAAGCAGGAAACGAGCCCUCAGUUUGAACCACAGUUCGUCUUUUCCAUUGGUCUUCCAACCCACCUUGAGUCUUGCCAUUUUUAGUAAAAGGAGUAUCAAACAAGAACCGAUCAAAAACACGAGCCCGAACUGAACCAGUAGAAAGAGAAAAAAUCCUCUCCCUUCUACUUCCAAGAUCCUCAUCUUCCAAUACUGGAUCAACGGCUGUGAUUUGCAGAUAGCAAACACCGGGCUGUAAUUCAUCAGCUUUUACUUGUCGGGAGUCAGGAAUUAUAUGUAACGUGUGAUCACCGUCCAUUCUUAGUUCAUAUAUAUGACUAAGUUUUUCCAUUAUGUCACCUAAUCUUACAUCACGAGGCUCUCGGUAUACAUAUUCUUUUUUAUUAAGUUUUCCGAAUUUUUCACCAUAAAAUCCCACGCGAUAAUACGUGGCAUCUAUAAAUGGAAUUGGACUUGAUUCUUGUUCUAAGAUUGAUUCAUAGAUGUUACAACAGCAACAGCACACUGUGCAGCUUCAGCCCAUGA